RNAcentral lists this ribosomal RNA (627 nucleotides) under Calonarius arcuatorum. RNAcentral describes it as "eukaryotic LSU rRNA". The stretch from base 256 to 409 matches the Rfam family "5.8S ribosomal RNA". RNAcentral also lists the same sequence under 1 other name. Lineage: Eukaryota; Fungi; Basidiomycota; Agaricomycetes; Agaricales; Cortinariaceae. The record is from RNAcentral.
AGGAUCAUUAUUGAAGUAAACUUGAUAAGUUGUUGCUGGUUCUCUAGGGAGCAUGUGCACACUUGUCAUUUUUAUAUCUUCACCUGUGCACAUUUUGUAGACUUUGGGUAUCUCUCUGAUUGCUUCCUUUUAGCAUUUAGGAUUUAAGGAUUGACUUUUGUCUUUUCUUACAUUUCCAGGUCUAUGUUUCUUCAAAUACCCUGAUGUAUGUUUAAAGAAUGUAAUUAAUAGGCCUUUGUGUCUAUAUGUCCUUACAACUUUCAGCAACGGAUCUCUUGGCUCUCGCAUCGAUGAAGAACGCAGCGAAAUGCGAUAAGUAAUGUGAAUUGCAGAAUUCAGUGAAUCAUCGAAUCUUUGAACGCACCUUGCGCUCCUUGGUAUUCCGAGGAGCAUGCCUGUUUGAGUGUCAUUAAUAUAUCAAUCUCUUUGGUUGGAUGUGGGGUUUGCUGGGCUCUUGAGAUCAGCUUCCCUUAAAUUUAUUAGCAGACAAUGAUUUGCCAAACGCUCAUUGGUGUGAUAAUUAUCUACGCUAUUGACGUGAAGCAAGUUCCGCUUCUAACUGUCCAUUGACUUGGACAAAUUUAUUAAUGUGACCUCAAAUCAGGUAGGACUACCCGCUGAACUUAA